GAGUGAGUGGACGGUCUCUAGCCUCAAAAUGCCGUCCCACACCCUAAAAAUGGUGGGUUCCACCUCUAAGAAACCUUAGGGUUUGGUGCCAAGUGUCCCUCAAAGUUUGGGCCCAUCAUAAAAUUUGCCAACAUUGGCCCAUUGCACAAAAUCCUAAUUAAAGUUCCUACUAAGUUACAAUUUAAUUAAAAUUGAAAUGACUAAUUUUUGAGUCUUCUAUGUGCACGCC
This 229-nucleotide long non-coding RNA is filed under the name Vigna radiata. RNAcentral's name for it is "long non-coding RNA (VRAD_LNC018615)". Lineage: Eukaryota; Viridiplantae; Streptophyta; Magnoliopsida; Fabales; Fabaceae. The record is from RNAcentral.